UCCUGGAUAAUGGUCAAAGGUUCAAAUCCGCGCAAGUUAGCGUACGCGUAGUUUAGUGGCACUACAUUAAGGCUUCCAGUUCCAAAAGCAGAUAUAGUUGUUAGCCAAAUCUUGCAAAUGCCGAGAGUCCGAUUAACCGCGGAGAUUGCUAUGAAAGGCGACACUGUCAAAUUCAGUGGCCAGAGGCCGGUUGCAACAUGGAGUAAGAAUUGGAUAAUUGGCAGGUGGAUUGCGUUGGUCUUUCUAGUUUUUUUUCUAAUGGUAGUGGACAUACAUUGCUUUGGUCUUCUCCGUAAAUAUAACCCAGAAGACACAGUGUAUGGUUUGUUUAUAAUGGGGUUAGGAAACCUGAUUGGUUUGGGUUUUCUGGGUACACAAGCUCAAGAACUAAUUCAAGAUGCAAAGACCGUAAAGGAUGUUCCUUUCUGGUGUUACGGCUUGGCAAGCUCUAGAUCUAAUUGAAGAAUCAAUGGAAGACCGGGCUAAUAUCAAAUAUGUCUUUCGUGAUUUGUAAAAGGUACACACAUUCAAUCAACGGGGUGAAGCCAAUCAGGUGCUGGCCAAUGGCUGAUGGUCGUGGCUACUGGCUGAGUUGAAAUACCUGGUUAUCCGAUUUGACUAGUGUUCAGUUGCGAUGUCUAUUAAUAUCCUUUAGGUUCUGCUAACCAAUAGAUUUUGAGGACAUCACUAAUCUCACGAGUCUUGGCCUAUCGGUUGUACUAAAUGUUAAUUGGCAAGUCAAAGUGUUGUUCCUGGAAUGCAACCAACUAGGUUAUUAGAGUUCAACUGUUUGUGUGUUGAAGUGAACAUGCACUUGCUUAAUAGUAGUGCACCUUUGGUCGGGAAUUACAAAUAGUUGCUUAUUAUCUUUUGAACUCGUAUCGAGGACAUCUCAGUCCGGCUUCCUCGGGGUUAAAAGUUAUUAUGUUAAAAGAGUGUACAUGUCAUGCCUCAGUGAGAUCUAUCACCAUAGUCUUGCUUGUCACUUCUCCCUUUAUGAGAUGCUAAAAACUUUCUUGGUGCUUCUUGUGAGAGUCUUGCUAUCUUAAGCGAACUACAUGAGAGUCUGGACUCUCUGACUUGAACUGGUAAAUCUCUCAUGUUCUUUGAAGAAAUUAAGCACAGAUAGGCUGUUGAUGUGCAGUGCAACCCAUUCACUCUGCUUUUGAAAUGCUGCCUGUUUCUCCUUCAUAUUGUAACAAUUACAAACCCUUCUAUGUUGUUCGGAAUGUCAGCUGUUUUCAGUUCAUUUUUGCCAAUACUGGAACCUAUGUUUGUCUUCACAUAACUAUGUGGAGACUUUUUAUAGUCGUGCUAUCAUUAAAAUUUACUUCUGGAAAAAUUUCUGUAAAGUUGGAUUUGUUUUAGCCAUCAGUGAGUGACAUGCAGGAUCAGAAUUGUGUUUAACCAAAUUCACUACAAGGCUCAGCAGUAGCUGCGUUGCUAGCUCUGCCUUGUCCGAAUGUGAACUGCAUUUCUUGACAGGGUAUUUUUGGGAAGCUUUUUUGGUGACGGAUUCAGGGGCAUGAGGGAAGCUGGAUGGUUUGUACUAGCAAUGGCUUGGAAGACCUAAUUUAUCAAAACCCUAUUCAUCAGGCUCAAAAUCAAGAGAGUCCGCAUGAUUUGAUAUGAAGUACAAACAAUGGCAUGUAUUAUAUUCGCAUAGCUGGUAACAGACAUAUGGCAUAUUGAUCAGAACUUUUUGAAGAUUGAGCAAAGUUGAGCUUUAUCAAUGGCUGAGUUGGACCUGUAUCUUUACUCUUGGUACACAUGAUAGAGUAGAGUUUAUUACUAAGCUAAAUUAAAACGUGCAUUAACUGGUAGCAGUUUGACCAAAGGUUAGCCUGACUGAGUGCCUCUUUAGAAAAUAUAUGGACUAUCUUUCCGCAUGACUAUAUUUUUUGCCGAUGAGAUUAGAUCUUUAAUCGCCGGCUUGUUUAUGGCAACCAGAUUGCCAGUCGUUGCCAAUCUGGGAACUUAAGUUUUGGCCUUCCUUCUCGGUUCUGUUGAAAUUCAUGUUAAGUUGGACUGUUUUGUGCAGUUGGAGAUUGAUUUGCAGAAUAAUGAUUGUGUUGCCAACUUCACUGUAAAGCUUGGUAGUGUCUUUAUGCCAACAAACGGCAUAAAGAUCUAAACUUGUUAAAGAUUGAGCAGAGUUCUAAUAAAUGCCUCAAGCAUGGAUUACCAUGGAUUGACCAACAUGGUUUACCAUGGAUUGAUGGCAUGAUUCGAGGUUAAGUUGAAGUGAACAAAUAAGCUGAAUGUACUCUAAUUUUGAUGUCCCAGAUGAUCUAUUUGAGGAUGGGGUUGGGGUGUUUAGGACAUUCAUCUUGCAGUCGUCUAGCAUUUAUUUCUCGGCAAAUUAAAGUAGGUUUGUAGUGCCAGACUCAUAAACACCCAAGCAUGCUUGCUCAGCACUGUCAACAGUGGUCAUGUGCCUAGCAACCCCUGUACUAGUAUGUGAAAGGAUUUCAAUCCUGAAAUGCAGGGGGCGUAAUCAUCAAGAGGGUAGAAGUUCAUACAAAAUGAGGGAUGAGUGACUACAAUGUGUAGAAGAACAAGAUCCCUAGUCUCUGCCCCAGAAAUGCAAAGAAGGCACUAAGCAUGUUCCAGCUGUUGCAACUGCUUCUCAGUAUUAGCUUGAUUUUCUUUGAGUCGAGAUUGUACACCGUCCUUCGUGGUUUCUGUGUUAGUGAUAGACUCCUUAAGCAGAAGAUCGGUUCUCCACAUCCCUCUGCACCUCUUCAAAUACAUUUUCAUUUGCAAUAAAUUGAUUCUCUGCAUCCUUCU
Long non-coding RNA from Daucus carota subsp. sativus, 2790 nucleotides. RefSeq lists it as uncharacterized. Lineage: Eukaryota; Viridiplantae; Streptophyta; Magnoliopsida; Apiales; Apiaceae. The record is from RefSeq and is a predicted model, not a curated record. The transcript is spliced from 4 exons.